GAGGGUAUCGCUCAGUGGUAGAGCAUAUGCUUAGCAUACAUGAGGUCCUGGGUUCAAUCCCCAGUACCUCCA
RNAcentral lists this transfer RNA (72 nucleotides) under Camelus bactrianus (Bactrian camel). It matches the Rfam family "tRNA". Rfam says of the family: Transfer RNA (tRNA) molecules are approximately 80 nucleotides in length. Their secondary structure includes four short double-helical elements and three loops (D, anti-codon, and T loops). The record is from Rfam by way of RNAcentral. Lineage: Eukaryota; Metazoa; Chordata; Mammalia; Artiodactyla; Camelidae. RNAcentral also lists the same sequence under 3 other names.